This 2328-nucleotide long non-coding RNA is filed under the name Sus scrofa (pig). Its description in RNAcentral is "lncRNA (ENSSSCG00015049188.1)". The record is from RNAcentral. Lineage: Eukaryota; Metazoa; Chordata; Mammalia; Artiodactyla; Suidae.
GAACUGGGGCAACAUCACAAAAUCAACAAGGAAAGCAUCUGAAAUAUCUGUAAAGGAAAAGGAAAAGGGAAGGAGGACAAUUCUUUACCAAGUUCAGUAAUACAAUAUGAAAGAGGGGCCAAAAAUUCAUAUUGAACAGGAACAAAAAUGUCUCUGAACCCCAAAAAAGUCAGCCUACAAGAACAAAUUGAGAAAAUACUAAAGCUGUGAAUACUGUAGUGGACCUCCCAAGGCUCCUGCUUAGGACCAACGCUCUGGUUUCAGUUGUCAGAAGCACUGACUGCUGGUAGGCUGGCUGCAAACACAGUCAUCCCUGGAAAUCUCCCUCAGACAGAGAGCUGCCUCACCCAAGUGAGGCCCCUUCCUGAAGGACUGACAGAGACUGUUGCCAUCUGCAUUGAAGUGCAACUUCUUCCCUUGCCUCUUCCUAAUUUUCUCACUUCCACUCUUCCUCACAGCAUUCCCAAGUAAACUUCCUUCAUGUGAAUCUUGUCACCUCAGAGUAUGUUUUGCAGGGAACCAGAACAACGAUACCUCCCUCUUUACUCCUACCUGUGUCUUGGAACAUACACAGACUACAUGUUAACUCCAUGCACGGUUAAUUGCCAAAUGACUCACAGACCGUGCGACGUCAUCAUCAGGCUGCCUGGAGAGGAUGGGAAGGAUAAAACUUCUCACAAGUUAAUGGAGACAUAGACUCUUCUACUUUCUCAAUUGAAUUCAUUUCUCACAAAUGUCACCUGUAGUUAUUUAGAUCCAAGAAAACGUCAAAAAUGGAACUACAUAUUUGUAUGUAACAAAUGAUAGUUGGUCUUUAUUAUGACAUUUAUUCACACUUGUACGUAGAAAUGGGAAAUUGUCUCAAGGUUACAUAACUCAUGAGCUGGUACUCUUCAUCUCUUUCAUGAAGACAGAUGUUUUGGGAGACUAGAAGCCAUGUAUCUCUGUUGUACCAGGUGCUGCAUAUCACCUUGUUUUAGUUAUACAUUAGAAUACUAUUGAAAACUCAUGACUCAAAUUGAUUUUGAUUUCUAAGAAAUGAUGAGGAGAACCUAAAAUUUAACCCAUUCAUUUUACCAUAAUUGAGUAUUUCUCAGAAUUUAAGCUCUUUCUCAUUAUCAGUUGUCUAUAUUUACAGGUUGUAAAACUUGAAAUACACAAGAUUUUCACAGGUGUAGGUACAAAACAGGCCAAAUUAUAAAACCAAAAGAGUUUAAAUGAACCUAUGUAAUUUAAGGUAAAUAUUAUUACCUGUUUUACCUUGGUAGUGUAUAUUGUGUGUAUUGUACAUUCCACUUUUAUAUCUCUAUAAAGACAAUAUCUUUCCUACAUAUUAAUGUAGGUAAAUAGCUAAUGUUAUACAGAGUUCAGGAGGAAUUAGAUUAUUAGAUUUCCUCCCUUGUGGAUUGUCUUAAUCUGCUGAGGCUGCUAUAACAAAUACCAUGGAAUGGGUAUCUUAAAUAAUAGAAACUGAUUUCUCACAAUUCUGGAAGGCCGCAAUCAGGGUGCCAACAUGGCUGGGUUGUGGGUUGUGCCCUUUUAUUGGUUUGUAAACAGUAUCUUCUUUUUGGAUCUUCACAUGAUGGGGGGGCAGGAAGCAAACUCUUUGUGUCUCUUGGGGUUUUUUUUGUUUGUGUUUGUUUUUGUUUUUUGUUUCAUUUUUUUUUGUUUUUUGGGUUUUUCUGUUUUUGAGGGCCGCAGGUGUGGCAUAUGGAAGUUCCCAGGCUAGGGAUCUGAGCCGUGUCUGCAACCUACACCACAGCUCACCACAACUGAGCAAGGCCAGUGAUUGAACCCACAUCUUCAUGGAUACUAGUUGGGUUCCUUACUGCUGAGCCACAGCAGGAACUCUCUUGUAAAAAAGGUGUUAAUCCCAUCAUGAGGGCUCUACCCCCAUGAGCUAAUUACUUCCCAAAGGUUCCAUCUCCAAAUAUCAUUACAUCCGCAUUAAGACUUCAACAAAGGAAUUUAGUGGGGAGACACAAAUAUUCAAUUCUUAUUUUUCACACCUAAUCAAAGAAGUACAAAUUAUGCAAUCAAAACUUAAAACUGAGUAGUUUAUAUUGUCCACAGAAUUUUAAGAGUUUAAAUCAGUAUGGAGCUUGCAUUUACAAAACAGGUAACAAAGCCCUUUGUUACCAUCAUUUCAAAAUGUAGAUAAGAAUUGUAUUUCUUAUUGGCUGCUUUUAACUUUGUUGAAGGUACAUUAAAUUAUGUUAAUGCGUCAGUGGGGAUAUAUUUUGCCUUCACUUUACUACCCAUUGAACAAUUGCUUUAUUUUUACAGAAUUACAGAUAGGAAUGGAAAAUAGGCACCCCAUAAACUAGA